RNAcentral lists this ribosomal RNA (499 nucleotides) under uncultured bacterium. RNAcentral's name for it is "bacterial SSU rRNA". It matches the Rfam family "Bacterial small subunit ribosomal RNA", at positions 29 to 530 of the family's 1533-position model. The record is from RNAcentral.
AACGAACGUUAGCGGCGCGCUUAACACAUGCAAGUCGUGCGAGAAAGGGAGCAAUCCCCGGUAAAGCGGCGCACGGGUGAGUAACACGUAGGUAACGUGCCCCUAGGUGGUGGAUAACCUUCCGAAAGGAGGGCUAAUACAGCAUAAGACCACGGCUUCGAAAGGAGCUGAGGUCAAAGUCGGCCUCUAUUCAUAAGCUGACGCCAAGGGAUCGGCCUGCGGCCCAUCAGGUAGUUGGUAGGGUAAUGGCCUACCAAGCCUAAGACGGGUAGCUGGUCUGAGAGGAUGAUCAGCCACACUGGAACUGAGACACGGUCCAGACUCCUACGGGAGGCAGCAGUGGGGAAUCUUAGACAAUGGGCGCAAGCCUGAUCUAGCCAUGCCGCGUGAGCGAUGAAGGCCUUAGGGUUGUAAAGCUCUUUCAGUGGGGAAGAUAAUGACUGUACCCACAGAAGAAGCCCCGGCUAACUCCGUGCCAGCAGCCGCGGUAAAGUGUGAC